Molecule: unclassified non-coding RNA, 496 nt
Filed under: Hevea brasiliensis (rubber tree)
Lineage: Eukaryota; Viridiplantae; Streptophyta; Magnoliopsida; Malpighiales; Euphorbiaceae
Source: RNAcentral
CGUCUUCCUCAGGAGCACCCAAAACAGGGCGCAACGUAGGGCUCUGUUCAUCUCCACCUCGUGAAUAUUAGUGCCCCUUCCUUUGAUUAAAUUCCUCGAGCAAUUUCCAUGCAAUAGUAGUUGUGCCUUUUCAUCAUCGUGAAUUACCGACGUGGAAUGGCCAUGAUGAGAAAUAGAGAAAUCCAAUUCCUUCGCUACUUGGAGAAGGAAUCUUCAAACCACACUGUCAAAGAACUCAUCAACGGAACAUUUCCAAGUUUUUCACGGGGAGUACCAUCGGUACUUUGCCAAAUUGCCACAGAAAAUGGAUUUUGAAGUGUUCCCAUGAGGGUCGAGAAUUGAGUUGCCGAAGCCUGUGAAACCAGUCAAGGGCAGAUCCCUCCAUGGCAACCAAAACCUUACAGAUUUUCAUAUCACUAUUAGUGCCACGAAUUUCAAAAUAUUUCUUUGCAUUCGCUAGCCAACCCAGAGGGUCAAAACCGACAAAAGAGGGAAA